Molecule: ribosomal RNA, 253 nt
Filed under: uncultured bacterium
Lineage: Bacteria
Description: partial 16S ribosomal RNA
Rfam family: Bacterial small subunit ribosomal RNA
Source: RNAcentral
UACGUAGGUGACAAGCGUUGUCCGGAAUUAUUGGGCGUAAAGGGAGCGCAGGCGGUUGGAAUAGUCUGAUGUGAAAGCCCACGGCUUAACCGUGGAAGGUCAUUGGAAACUGUCCAACUUGAAUGCAGAAGAGGUAAGUGGAAUUCCAUGUGUAGCGGUGAAAUGCGUAGAUAUAUGGAAGAACACCAGUGGCGAAGGCGACAUUCUGGUCUGUUACUGACACUGAGGCUCGAAAGCGUGGGGAGCAAACAGG